This 102-nucleotide ribosomal RNA is filed under the name uncultured bacterium. Its description in RNAcentral is "partial 16S ribosomal RNA". It matches the Rfam family "Bacterial small subunit ribosomal RNA", at positions 1369 to 1482 of the family's 1533-position model. The record is from RNAcentral.
CGUUCCCAGGCCUUGUACACACCGCCCGUCACAUCAUGAAAGCCGGUUGUACCCGAAGUCGCCCCUCAAAAGGUGCCGAAGGUAUGGCUGGUGAUUGGGAUG